GGGCAAUUCAUAGUAACAUCAUGGAGGGCUGGCAGAUCUCUUGGCUUCUCUCUUGGAGAAAUUCUCUUCCUACUCUCUGUAUUCCAUUUUCAAAGUCAAAGACAAAGAAAACUCUGGAAAAGAAAGAGAUGAGAUAUUUUAUAACAACUUUAUAGCAGUUCUCAAAAGAGGAAUUGUGGAUGAUUAAUAAUCCUAUGAAAGAAUGUUCCAAAUCACCAAUGAGAGAAUUAAAAAUUCAAACAACUCUUGAUGUUUCACUUUAUGCUAAGCAAAUUGUAAAAAAUGACAAAAUACGAAGGCAUUGUGGAAAGAUGGACAUCUUAUAAUAUACUGCUGAUGGAAUUAUAAAUUGCUCCAACCAUUCUGAAAAGCUAUUUGGAAUUUUGAAAACAAAAUGACUACAUUUAAUGUCCACCCCCUUCCAGAUAUUCCAUUGCUAGACAUGUAUUCCUAAAAGAUCAAUGACAAAAAGAAGAGCCCCCAUAGACAUAAAAAUUGUGGCAGCACUUUUUAUAGUAUAUAGUUCUUACUAGGAACAAAGACAUCUGGCUUGGGAGUGGUGAAACAAGUGUGGUACAUGGUAAUAAUGGAAUAUUACUCUGCUUUUAGAAAUGCUUAAUAUAGUCUAUACAUGUCUUCUCCUUUCUUUUCCUACAGGAAACAGAAAGAAGACCAUGGGAAAGAAGGAACUGCAUUGAUCCACUCUGGAUCAACAAAGCUUUCAAAAAUUGCCAGCUAACAAGAUUUAUUGAGUGCCUAUUAUGCCUCACCUAUGGUGUCCAUUUCUCCUGCAACUCCCUCUCACCUGCGAUUCCAAGAAGCUGUGGCAUGGGCAGGAGCUACCCCAGGCUUUCCAAGACAAAAAUUAAAUCUAUUGAUGUCCUUACUAAUGUCCAUCAACCCAUUAACAUCCAGGGAGGGAGUAGAGUCAUUGAGCAGCUGCAGCCAAGUGAAACAUCAAGGAACAGAGGUUUGAGUUGGCAUUGUGUAAGGACUUGCGGAGAAACCUUCCCCCCACGAGGGUCUCGACGACGUCCCCCGGAGCUUUGCUGAUGGCCUGAAUCAGUCAGCACGUGGGAGCCCCUCAAGGCCAGAAGGUGAGAGGUUCAGAGUUGAGGGUC
RNAcentral lists this long non-coding RNA (1121 nucleotides) under Monodelphis domestica (gray short-tailed opossum). RNAcentral describes it as "lncRNA (ENSMODG00000050667.1)". The record is from RNAcentral. Lineage: Eukaryota; Metazoa; Chordata; Mammalia; Didelphimorphia; Didelphidae.